GGGUCGUUAGCUCAGCUGGUAGAGCAUCGGACUUUUAAUCCGCUGGUCGAGGGUUCGAGCCCCUCACGACCCACCA
This 76-nucleotide transfer RNA is filed under the name Acidimicrobiia bacterium. Its description in RNAcentral is "tRNA-Lys". It matches the Rfam family "tRNA". Rfam says of the family: Transfer RNA (tRNA) molecules are approximately 80 nucleotides in length. Lineage: Bacteria; Bacillati; Actinomycetota; Acidimicrobiia. The record is from RNAcentral.